This 1416-nucleotide long non-coding RNA is filed under the name Helianthus annuus (common sunflower). Its description in RNAcentral is "hypothetical non coding rna". Lineage: Eukaryota; Viridiplantae; Streptophyta; Magnoliopsida; Asterales; Asteraceae. The record is from RNAcentral.
UAUCAGAUGUAUGUGUUGACUAGAGCUAGAGGAGAAAAAGGAAAACCCUUGUUGCCACAAAAUCAAUCAAAUUGAAAGGGAAUUGAAGCCUGAUUGUAUGCAUGGAUUAAGAUUUAUGACCAACUAAGUGUUCUUAUCACCAAAAUUGGAACCACACAAGCAUGGACCAAGCAUGGAAGGCUAACGGGUCAAGAUGAGGCAAGGAAGCGGUUACGAGCACAGAUGCACAAGGUAAGUGACUUCCGACUCACUUCUUACUAUACUUAAGAACUUUCUUGUUUAUGAAUGAGGGGAAAUCAUGUAUGGUAUGAAAUGAAUGAAGGUAUUAAGAUAAGUAGCGAUCUAGAUAGUUGAAGGUAGUUUGUGGGACCAAACGGGUCGAAUAAAUAAGAAAAAGUGAGGUAACGGUAAUAAAUUUGUAAUGAUUAAGGACCCGGGGUAGGGAUUCUUAGUCUAAUAUGUAAGGAUUUGUUUUACGAAUGUUUAGGAUCAAGUUUCAAGUGAAACGGAGGUAAAACGAACAAUUUAUGCGAAUUUUAGUGUUAAAGUGGAUAGCUGAUCUGGGCAUCACCGUAGCUUACGGUGCCCACCGUAAGCUACGGUGGGAGCUGGGAUUUUCUUUCUGCCGUAAGGCAGUUUAAAGUUGCUGUAAGGCUUUUGGGGCCACCGUAAGCUACGGUAGCCACCGUAGCUUACGGUGGAGGUCAGAUGUAAAUGUAAAGCUUAUGGAAUUCUUUGUUUUUCCUUCGAAUUCGGACCCCGUGAAUCUAUUCCAAGCCUCGUUAAGUCUUUAUAAUGUUCCUCAACCCUACCGAAAGGUUUGGUAAGUUACGGGUGAGUACGGAACUCAUUCUUAAGAUUCGAAACAUACCCGAAAGACGUUUAUGUAUAUACGUUUAAUGUUCGAGUUAGUAUAUAUGUAUGAAUGCAUUCAUGUAAUUCUGCAAGUAUAUAUGUAAGUAUGUGAGUAGGUAUGUUAUAUGUAGUUAUGUAUGUAUGUAUGUAUGUAUGUGAGUAAGUAUGUAUGUACGUAGUUAUGCAUGUAUUGUAUACGUGGUUUCAAUACAUUUAAGUAUUGACGUUACUAACAGUGUGCCUCGAGAACGAAAUGUAGUGCAGGUACUCUAUUGAAGUUUCGCCAAGGAUUAGCGUUAGACACCUGGAUGGAAUGACUAAAUCUAGAAAGAUAACAGGAUGGAAAGUUGUACAAAUCACAGAUUAUCAUCAUGAGAAGUAGCGAUCAAAGAGCGAGUCACAAGAUAGAUUGUACGGAAAUACUUGAGUGUGUAAAUUGAUAGACAUAAGUUAUGGUUCUUUUUUUUUUUUUUUUUUUUUUUUUUUGUAAAUGAGUACGAAUGAUGCUUAUAUUGUAAAAGAGUUAUUUUAUAAUGAACUUUCAAGUAAGUCAAAACAUUA